GGGCGAGAACCAUGCAAACUGCCCUGAGUUCCUUGGAAGAAGAGUGGGAUAAAAAUAACCACCACCCUAACUAAAUUUACUAGAUGUUUGCUCACAAAAUUUAAGAGCGCACAUUCUGCUUCAGGACCCCCAAUGCAUAUAAAGAUCUUCUGGAGACGUCCACCUGUGGUUGGCUCCAGCUCAUCUGGUAUCGACUCAGGAUUGGGCCUUUGAACUCCCUGUUGCUGUUGAAAAGAACAGCACAUGCACUCCUGAGCCAGAGCACUGAUUUGCUGAUAGCGUUCCAGAAAUUCCAACUAUGACACACAUGAGAAAGAGAACCCCUUCUGGAAAGAAAACUGACUGAUAUUAAGAAGCAGGGCAAAAGCCAAGAUAAAAAGUGUUCCGGUUCGAGGAGCUCACUGUCCAAGGUGUUGACACAAUGGCAAUCAGAAAGGAACAGAGGAGAAAACACUAGAACACCCAAACUGAGGAAACGCACCACAUGCAAGGGGCAGGGCUAAGCUCUUCGAGGAACUAGUCAAUUCUGCCCGAAUUGUCCCGCUCAGGCGCAGAACCCACUCUUAUGAUUGCAACGAAUCACGAUCCAGA
This is a long non-coding RNA of Hemicordylus capensis (graceful crag lizard), 591 nucleotides long. RefSeq lists it as uncharacterized. The record is from RefSeq and is a predicted model, not a curated record. Lineage: Eukaryota; Metazoa; Chordata; Lepidosauria; Squamata; Cordylidae. The transcript has 5 exons.